Parus major (Great Tit) is the source of this 612-nucleotide RNA transcript. RefSeq lists it as uncharacterized. The transcript has 3 exons. The record is from RefSeq and is a predicted model, not a curated record. Lineage: Eukaryota; Metazoa; Chordata; Aves; Passeriformes; Paridae.
AAGCCACGCCCUCUGACACACCCUCACUGCUGGGUCAUGUGACAGGCGGCGCGGGAAGAUGGCGGCGUCCUGCGAGGAAUUGCAGUAGCAUGGAAGAGAAUUCUUCCUAAUGGACAACUGAGCAGAUUGGGACUCCAGAGAUUCUGCAAGCUUGAGGCAGGUGGUGCCUUUGGCUUCCAUCACGUGGAAGGUGAAUGCGUGGCGAGAAGACUCCGAGCUGUUGAGUUCACUCUUAUGGACGACCUCACCAUGGAUGAGGAUGAGUCCACCUGUGGGAAAGAAUCACCUGGACUGCUGCUUUCCAAAAGAUGAGCUCUGGCUUUCCAAUGGAAGCGAAGGUGCAGGGUUAAAAUAGGAUUUUAGCUCCCUUGUGUUUUCUUGAGCUGUGAAGCACCUUUGGAGUGCUGUUUGUACCUUUACUUAUAGGCAGAGGUAUGAACUGCUUCUCAUCAUAGGCUGGCUCUGAGCCUACAAACUCUACACAUGUUGAGGCACCUGAAGCUGCACGGACCAUCCUCCGGGUAAUCCCAUCUGCAAAUCCACAGAGUAAGCCAACACACAAAAAUUAAACACCUGGCUACAACCUGCACAGUAAAGGAGCAAUAUCAGUUA